CCUCCCACUCCUCUACGCAUCAGACAAACUUUACCUUCGCGGGCAUUUUGAUCCACUUCAUCUCGGAAAGCUGUUAUUCGGAGAAUAAAAGGUUGCAGAAUAACAGCUAAUAUUAAUGGAUCAUUCUAUUCAAGAGAAUGUCAACUGGAACUUGGAUGUUUUCAUAACAGGCUUAAAGAUGAACAAAUUGAUAAAGAAACCCUCCUGCUGGACAUCCACUUCCAAAAGUGCACACCACACUGUUUUCUACAAACUCCCAGGAAAAGAAUCCUCUUUAGUAAGACUGCUCCGUGGAUAUUUUAGGUUAAGCAGUGCUGAAACCGAAAGAACUAACGCUCUUUAAAAUGUUUUGUGAGUUUAUAUGAAGAGGAAAGUUACGGUGUCCCUUUUUCACAUCCAUAACGCUUGUUUAUUUCUUUUUUUAUAGAAAACUUGUGCAUAGAUUUAUAUUUUAUCAUAUAAAUGCGGUUCUAUCAACAAGGGUUUAGUAAAAUACUUUUUAUAGUGUUUUGAAGUGUUAAGUUGUCUAACUAUUUAUAUUUACUUGUGCCACUUUAAUAACCUUGUUAAAUGUAUAUGUUAAAAUCUAAACUAAUGUAAUUUAUUGAAGUUAAUUUUCUUUAAAUAUGUAUAAACAUACAUUUCAUCAAA
Long non-coding RNA from Triplophysa dalaica, 651 nucleotides. RefSeq lists it as uncharacterized. The record is from RefSeq and is a predicted model, not a curated record. The transcript is spliced from 3 exons. Lineage: Eukaryota; Metazoa; Chordata; Actinopteri; Cypriniformes; Nemacheilidae.